AUUGAACGCUGGCGGCAUGCCUUACACAUGCAAGUCGAACGGCAGCACGGGUGCUUGCACCUGGUGGCGAGUGGCGAACGGGUGAGUAAUACAUCGGAACGUACCUUAUCGUGGGGGAUAACGCAGCGAAAGCUGUGCUAAUACCGCAUACGCCCUGAGGGGGAAAGCGGGGGAUCGCAAGACCUCGCGCGAUUAGAGCGGCCGAUGCCCGAUUAGCUUGUUGGUGGGGUAAAAGCCCACCAAGGCGACGAUCAGUAGCUGGUCUGAGAGGACGAUCGGCCAAGCUGGGACGGAGAAACGGCCCAGACUCCUCCGGGAGGCAGCAGUGGGUAAUUUUGGGCAAUGGGGGCAACCCUGAUCCAGCAAUGCCGCGUGAGUGAAGAAGGCCUUCGGGUUGUAAAGCUCUUUUGUCAGGGAAGAAACACCGGCUCUAACACAGUCCGGGAAUGACGGUACCUGAAGAAUAAGCACCGGCUAACUACGUGCCAGCCGCCGCCGUAA
RNAcentral lists this ribosomal RNA (501 nucleotides) under uncultured bacterium. Its description in RNAcentral is "partial 16S ribosomal RNA". It matches the Rfam family "Bacterial small subunit ribosomal RNA", at positions 29 to 523 of the family's 1533-position model. The record is from RNAcentral.